GAAUCAACGCUGGCGGCGUGCCUAACACAUGCAAGUCGCACGAGAAAAGGGGAGCAAGUCCCUGAGUAAAGUGGCGCACGGGUGAGUAACACGUGAAUCAUCUACCGUCCGAGUGGGGAAUAACUGAGAGAAAUCUUAGCUAAUACCGCUAUAACACUUACGAGUCAAAGCAGCAAUGCGCUUGGAGAGGAGUUCGCGGCCGAUUAGUUAGUUGGCGGGGUAAUGGCCCACCGAAGACGAUGAUCGGUAUCCGGCCUGAGAGGGCGCACGGACACACUGGAACUGAAACACGGUCCAGACUCCGUACCGGGAGGCAGCGAGUGGGGAAUUUUGCGCGAA
This 339-nucleotide ribosomal RNA is filed under the name uncultured bacterium. Its description in RNAcentral is "bacterial SSU rRNA". It matches the Rfam family "Bacterial small subunit ribosomal RNA", at positions 27 to 372 of the family's 1533-position model. The record is from RNAcentral.